RNAcentral lists this ribosomal RNA (303 nucleotides) under uncultured bacterium. RNAcentral describes it as "partial 16S ribosomal RNA". It matches the Rfam family "Bacterial small subunit ribosomal RNA", at positions 507 to 807 of the family's 1533-position model. The record is from RNAcentral.
AGCAGUAGCCACGGUAAUACGUAGGGUGCAAGCGUUAAUCGGAAUUACUGGGCGUAAAGCGUGCGCAGGCGGUUUGUUAAGACAGAUGUGAAAUCCCCGGGCUCAACCUGGGAACUGCAUUUGUGACUGGCAAGCUAGAGUGUGGCAGAGGGGGGUGGAAUUCCGCGUGUAGCAGUGAAAUGCGUAGAUAUGCGGAGGAACACCGGUGGCGAAGGCAGCCCCCUGGGCCAACACUGACGCUCAUGCACGAAAGCGUGGGGAGCAAACAGGAUUAGAUACCCGGGUAGUCCCUGUCUCUUAUAC